Molecule: ribosomal RNA, 403 nt
Filed under: bacterium
Lineage: Bacteria
Description: partial 16S ribosomal RNA
Rfam family: Bacterial small subunit ribosomal RNA
Source: RNAcentral
UGGGGAAUAUUGCACAAUGGGGGAAACCCUGAUGCAGCGACGCCGCGUGAACGAAGAAGGUAUUCGUAUCGUAAAGUUCUGUCCUAUGGGAAGAUAAUGACAGUACCAUAGAAGAAAGCUCCGGCUAAAUACGUGCCAGCAGCCGCGGUAAUACGUAUGGAGCGAGCGUUGCCCGGAAUUAUUGGGCGUAAAGGGUACGCAGGCGGUUUAAUAAGUCGAAUGUUAAAGAUCGGGGCUAAACCCCGCAAAGCAUUGGAAACUGAUAAACUUGAGGAGUGGAGAGGAAAGUGGAAUUCCUAGUGUAGUGGUGAAAUACGUAGAUAUUAGGAGGAAUACCAGUAGCGAAGGCGACUUUCUGGACACAAACUGACGCUGAGGUACGAAAGCGUGGGGAGCAAACAGG